CCUACGGGAGGCUGCAGUAGGGAAUAUUGCUCAAUGGGGGAAACCCUGCAGCAGCAACGCCGCGUGGAGGAUGAAGGUUUUCGGAUUGUACACUCCUUUUGUUAGAGAAGAUAAUGACGGUAUCUAACGAAUAAGCAACGGCUAACUCCGUUCCAGCAGCCGCGGUAAUACGGAGGGUGCAAGCGUUACACGGAAUCACUGGGUGUAAAGAGAGCGUCGGCGGGAUAGCAAGUCAGAAGUGAAAUUCUAUGGCUUAACCACGGGACUGCAUUUGAAACUUUUAUUCUAAGGUAAUGGAGAGGGAAGUGGAAUUUCUGGUGUAGGGGUAAAAAGCGUAGAGAUUAAGAGGAAUA
Molecule: ribosomal RNA, 353 nt
Filed under: uncultured bacterium
Lineage: Bacteria
Description: partial 16S ribosomal RNA
Rfam family: Bacterial small subunit ribosomal RNA
Source: RNAcentral